This 83-nucleotide transfer RNA is filed under the name Caudoviricetes sp. RNAcentral's name for it is "tRNA-Leu". It matches the Rfam family "tRNA". From Rfam's summary of the family: Transfer RNA (tRNA) molecules are approximately 80 nucleotides in length. Their secondary structure includes four short double-helical elements and three loops (D, anti-codon, and T loops). Further hydrogen bonds mediate the characteristic L-shaped molecular structure. tRNAs have two regions of fundamental functional importance: the anti-codon, which is responsible for specific mRNA codon recognition, and the 3' end, to which the tRNAs corresponding amino acid is attached (by aminoacyl-tRNA synthetases). tRNAs cope with the degeneracy of the genetic code in two manners: having more than one tRNA (with a specific anti-codon) for a particular amino acid; and 'wobble' base-pairing, i.e. permitting non-standard base-pairing at the 3rd anti-codon position. Lineage: Duplodnaviria; Heunggongvirae; Uroviricota; Caudoviricetes. The record is from RNAcentral.
GCCCGUAUGGUGAAAUUGGCAGACACACUAGUUUUAGGAACUGGUACUUAUGUGUACAGGUUCAAAUCCUGUUACGGGCACCA